GAGAUUAUAGUCAAUUAUGACACCUGAUUUGCAUCUAGGAAGUGCUACUUUUAGCUGGUCUU
RNAcentral lists this transfer RNA (62 nucleotides) under Lysmata boggessi. RNAcentral's name for it is "tRNA-Ala". The record is from RNAcentral. Lineage: Eukaryota; Metazoa; Arthropoda; Malacostraca; Decapoda; Hippolytidae.